This 381-nucleotide long non-coding RNA is filed under the name Numida meleagris (helmeted guineafowl). RNAcentral describes it as "lncRNA (ENSNMEG00000018359.1)". Lineage: Eukaryota; Metazoa; Chordata; Aves; Galliformes; Numididae. The record is from RNAcentral.
GUGUAUGCAGUUAUUCCCUGACUCAGUCUAGUUAGCUGAUGCUAAGUGAUACAUCACUUGAGUGGACAUGUGAUGUUGGUGUUGCUUGUAAGUGUAGCUGCAUCAGCUGAGUAACCUUUGGUAAGGAAUGGUGACCGUAGCUGAUGGCAAAAACAUUUUCACCUGGUUUUAGCAUUCACUAAGGACACAGAGAUAUAUGUAAUGAAUCACAGCUUUAAACAGAGGUCCUGCCUGUUCCGGUAGCUGGUGUGCAGUUGUAGAUGCUCAGGGGAAACAUAAAGGCAAUUUUGUAAAGGUGGUUUUGGAGAAGUUGAUGGAGAAAUUAAGUUGGUUACCGACUGGCUGUCUUGCAAGGUAUUUUUAAUGUAGAGGCAGUCUCUG